UUUUCUUCCACAUGAAAGAAGAUACUGGGUCGAUGUAAAUGUAUUUUCUAGCAAGGCCAUCAUACAUUAAAUAGGUGUAUUUUCUUAUAUCAGCCUAAGAAUUUCAACCUUAUACACUAUGACUGGAAUAUAUAAUUUAUGCAUAUAUUAUAGGGAAUUACAGUUUAGGAUGGAUUUAUAAUGAUAUUGCCAUCAAAUUUUAUGGAUCAGUGGAGAUUAUUAGACUUUCUGGAGCCAUGCUGUUCUUAUAAAGGCCUUAGGUAUAGAGUGAAUAUAUUAUUUCUUUUUGUGAACCACAAGAGUCUAGAUAGGGGAUGAAAGUGCAAUCUUUCAUAUUAUAUUACUCAGUAUGGAAAGGAAUCUUAGAAGUUUUCCCUAUUCCUAAAUGUGUGUAUUUCUUAAUGAAAGAAUUAGAAUGUGGUCUUUCAACAGCCCUGGAAAAUCAGUUUAUCUGUCAGUAUUCAGCUGAGAUACACACCGAAUAAAAUACUAAAAUACUGAAGUGGUUCUUAUUGAGGUUUAUAAUGAGAAUUACUGGGGAGUUUAAAAAGAAAUUAUUGAGCACAAUUCUUAGCUUCUGAUUCUUUGGUUCUGGUGUGGCUGUGGAUUCUGCUUUUUAAAUAGGUCAGGUUUGAGAACCACAGCUGUAUUUGGUUAGGGGGUAGUGUGCAAUAGAAAUAUAAAUGUAAUAGGAAAUAGAAGAUAGGAACUUCCUCUUUUAUUUGGCUUUCUGUUUUGUCAGAAGGAACACAUUCAAAACUAGGUGAUACUUUCAAAGCUAGGGAAUGACAAAUGAAAAUCCAUAUAAGCAAAAAAAAAAAAAAUCAAGAAUGAACCAAGUUUUCUUUUUCUUUUCCUUUCUUUUUUUAGACUUAUUUUACAGUGUGGUGGGGAGGGAGAGAGAGAAUCCUCAAGAGACUCUUCUCUGAGCACAGAGCCCAGCACAGAGCUCCAUCCCAGGACCCUAUGACCUGAGCUGAAAUGAAGUGCCAGCUGCUUAACUGGCUGAGUUACCCAGAUCCAUUCUCCUCUCCGCAUGCUCUGUAUCCUAAGAGACUGUGCUUAAAGAACUGCAUCAUCUGCUCACUAGCCUUCUUGCUCUGCUGGGUUCAGCCAGUGGAAAAGGGAAGCAAGAAUUUGGUGAGUAUUAAGAGAGCACUCAGGAUGUUUAUCAUUAACCCUUAUGGGGCUAUAUUUGACAGAUGAAAGCAAACUCUUCUACCUAUGGCCACUCUCUUGUCAUGUGGUCCCAUUUCAACAGCCCUCACUCUUUUUUUUUUUAAAUUUAUUUUUAUUUUCAGCAUAACAGUAUUCAUUAUUUUUGUACCACACCCAGUGCUCCAUGCAAUCUGUGCCCUCUAUAAUACCCACCAUCUGGUACCCUGACCUCCCACCACCCUCCCCUUCAAAACCCUCAGAUUGUUUUUCAGAGUCCAUAGUCUCUCAUGGUUGACCUCCCCUUCCAAUUUCCCCCAACUCCCUUCUCCUCUCCAACUCCCCUUGUCCUCCAUGCUAAUUGUUAUGCUCCACAAAUAAGUGAAACCAUAUGAUAAUUGACUCUCUCUGCUUGACUUAUUUCACUCAGCAUAAUCUCUUCCAGUCNNNN
RNAcentral lists this long non-coding RNA (1606 nucleotides) under Mustela putorius furo (domestic ferret). RNAcentral's name for it is "lncRNA (ENSMPUG00000030947.1)". The record is from RNAcentral. Lineage: Eukaryota; Metazoa; Chordata; Mammalia; Carnivora; Mustelidae.